RNAcentral lists this ribosomal RNA (504 nucleotides) under uncultured bacterium. RNAcentral describes it as "bacterial SSU rRNA". It matches the Rfam family "Bacterial small subunit ribosomal RNA", at positions 385 to 901 of the family's 1533-position model. The record is from RNAcentral.
GACGCAGCGACGCCGCGUGAGGGAUGAGGCCUUCGGGUUGUAAACCGCUUUCAGCAGGGAAGAAGCGAAAGUGACGGUACCUGCAGAAGAAGCACCGGCUAACUAUGUGCCAGCAGCCGCGGUAAUACAUAGGGUGCAAGCGUUGUCCGGAAUUAUUGGGCGUAAAGAGCUCGUAGGUGGUUCGUCACGUCGGAUGUGAAACUCUGGGGCUUAACCCCAGACCUGCAUUCGAUACGGGCGAGCUUGAGUAUGGUAGGGGAGUCUGGAAUUCCUGGUGUAGCGGUGGAAUGCGCAGAUAUCAGGAGGAACACCAAUGGCGAAGGCAGGACUCUGGGCCAUUACUGACACUGAGGAGCGAAAGCGUGGGGAGCGAACAGGAUUAGAUACCCUGGUAGUCCACGCCGUAAACGGUGGGCACUAGUUGUGGGGACCUUCCACGGUCUCUGCGACGCAGCUAACGCAUUAAGUGCCCCGCCUGGGGAGUACGAUCGCAAGAUUAAAACU